This is a non-coding RNA of Homo sapiens (human), 117 nucleotides long. It matches the Rfam family "Metazoan signal recognition particle RNA". Rfam says of the family: The signal recognition particle (SRP) is a universally conserved ribonucleoprotein. Lineage: Eukaryota; Metazoa; Chordata; Mammalia; Primates; Hominidae. The record is from Rfam.
GCCAGGUGUGGUGGCUCACGCCUGUAAUCCCAGUACUCUGGGAGGCCGAGGCAGGUGGAUCACCUGAGGUCAGGAGUUCAAGACCAGCCUGACCAAUAUGGUGAAACCCUGUCUCCA